UUAUGUGCCCUUAGAAUUCAGCCUAGCUCCCAACCGCGGUGGGAAGUCUCCAUAUUGUGGAACCUUCGCAAGGCCCGAUUUCCAAUAUGGAUUUAGAGUGGUAUCUUGUUCAGAAAGAAGCCUGGGGGCGGUGUUUAAACACAUGCAAAGUUGGACGGGAAGGUUUCUCCCGAAGAACAGAGAUAGAGGUGGGGCCACCGGUGGAGUAACGGCGUAAUAAUUACCUGGGUUCUUGGAUAAACCUUCGAAGGAGGGAUAAUACCGGCUUAUUGCCUUUACUGCAGGGUAAAGGCAGGAAAGAUGGGGCUUUUCGGAACCUAUCACAUGGGAUGAGUUUGCGUACCAUUAGCUAGUUGGUGGGGUAAUGGCCCACCAAGGCGACGACGGUUAGCGGGUCUGAGAGGAUGAUCCGUCAUACUGGCACUGGAACACGGGCCCAGACUCCUACGGGAGGCAGCAGUGAGGAAUAUUGCGCAAUGGGGGAAACCCUGACGCAGCGACGCCGCGUGAGUGAGGAAGGCUUUCGGGUCGUAAAGCUCUGUCAGACGGGAAGAAGUGCUAUGUAGUUAAUACCUGCAUAGUUUGACGGUACCAUCAGAGGAAGCACCGGCUAACUCCGUGCCAGCAGCCGCGGUAAUACGGAGGGUGCGAGCGUUGUUCGGAAUCACUGGGCGUAAAGGGCGCGCAGGCGGCGUGCUAAGUCAGAUGUGAAAGCCCACGGCUUAACCGUGGAAGUGCAUUUGAAACUGGCAUGCUUGAGUACCAGAGGGGAAGGUGGAAUUCCCGGUGUAGAGGUGAAAUUCGUAGAUAUCGGGAGGAAUACCGAGAGCGAAGGCGACUUUCUGGCUGGAUACUGACGCUGAGGCGCGAAAGCGUGGGGAGCAAGCAGGAUUAGAUUCCCUGGUAGUUCACGCCGUAAACGAUGUGAACUAGAUGUUGGAGGUGUUGAUCCCUUCGGUGUCGGAGCUAACGCAUUAAGUCACCGCCUGGGAAGAUUUUUAU
RNAcentral lists this ribosomal RNA (1002 nucleotides) under uncultured bacterium. RNAcentral's name for it is "bacterial SSU rRNA". It matches the Rfam family "Bacterial small subunit ribosomal RNA", at positions 1 to 888 of the family's 1533-position model. The record is from RNAcentral.